This 623-nucleotide ribosomal RNA is filed under the name Staphylococcus haemolyticus. RNAcentral describes it as "bacterial SSU rRNA". It matches the Rfam family "Bacterial small subunit ribosomal RNA", at positions 173 to 787 of the family's 1533-position model. The record is from RNAcentral. Lineage: Bacteria; Bacillati; Bacillota; Bacilli; Caryophanales; Staphylococcaceae.
UAUUUCGAACCGCAUGGUUCGAUAGUGAAAGAUGGUUUUGCUAUCACUUAUAGAUGGACCCGCGCCGUAUUAGCUAGUUGGUAAGGUAACGGCUUACCAAGGCGACGAUACGUAGCCGACCUGAGAGGGUGAUCGGCCACACUGGAACUGAGACACGGUCCAGACUCCUACGGGAGGCAGCAGUAGGGAAUCUUCCGCAAUGGGCGAAAGCCUGACGGAGCAACGCCGCGUGAGUGAUGAAGGUCUUCGGAUCGUAAAACUCUGUUAUUAGGGAAGAACAUACGUGUAAGUAACUAUGCACGUCUUGACGGUACCUAAUCAGAAAGCCACGGCUAACUACGUGCCAGCAGCCGCGGUAAUACGUAGGUGGCAAGCGUUAUCCGGAAUUAUUGGGCGUAAAGCGCGCGUAGGCGGUUUUUUAAGUCUGAUGUGAAAGCCCACGGCUCAACCGUGGAGGGUCAUUGGAAACUGGAAAACUUGAGUGCAGAAAAGGAAAGUGGAAUUCCAUGUGUAGCGGUGAAAUGCGCAGAGAUAUGGAGGAACACCAGUGUCGAAGGCGACUUUCUGGUCUGUAACUGACGCUGAUGUGCGAAAGCGUGGGGAUCAAACAGGAUUAUAUACCC